CUGGCGCGUCCUCCGCCGCAACCUCAUCUCCGAGAUCCUCCACCCCACCCGCGUCCAAAUCUACGCCCCUGGCCGCCAGUGGGUCCUCUCCGUCCUCACCCAAAACCUCCGCUCCAAGUCUCAAUCAUCCAACGGUGUUGUAGCCAUGGAGAGCUUCCAGUUCGCGAUGUUCUGCCUCCUCGUGCUCAUGUGCUUUGGGGAGAAGCUCGACGAGAAAGCCAUUUUAGAGAUCGAGGUUGCUCAGAGAAACCUCCUCCUCAAUGCCAG
This 267-nucleotide unclassified non-coding RNA is filed under the name Hevea brasiliensis (rubber tree). The record is from RNAcentral. Lineage: Eukaryota; Viridiplantae; Streptophyta; Magnoliopsida; Malpighiales; Euphorbiaceae.